AGCCAUCACCCUUUUGUGCCUUGCCCCAAGAGAAGAGAGGAAGAAAAAGGGAGAGAAGAGAGGGGAGAUGAGGGCAUACCGUCGCCCAUCAUCGUCGUUCCUCUCCAAGAAUUGGUUGGAUUUCCUUUCCUCUCUCUUUUCUCCACUUGAUGAAUGUUUUCCCUUGUUUUGGAUGAGUUUUAGGCCCUGCAAUUAACAUUUUUUGGUUGGAUUAGAUGGGGGAUUAGAUUUUGAUCUCGAAAUUAGUUUCUGUAGAAUGCCAGAUUCAACAGUUUCUGUUCAUGCCAGUUUUCCGUGGUCUUAGUGGCCUCAAAAAAAUAAAAAGUCUAUCUAUGAGUCGUAGAUAAUUUGUAGAUCUUUCCGUGGCUGCGAAGAACACCUCAAUUGGACAUCAGAUUAGAAAGUUAUUGCAGUUUAAUUAUAGCAGUUUUUUAGUCUCAUAAUUCUGUGCAGAAUCUGUUCUCUUAAGAUUUAGACAAUUUUAUCAACAGAAUUAAACUUUAGGAUUCUAAAAGAAGUUGUAUACAAUUUUAUAAGCUUUCCAGAUUGUUAAAGAGCGUAUUCAUAUGAAUUAUAAAACUCCAGUUAUGUUUGUUUUACUGUGGUUGUUCCUGUUUGUCUGAUAAAAAUGAGUGGGGUUGUUCACUGGUGGGUUGCAUAUAGUAAAUAGCAGAAUUGGCUGUUCCAACUAUGGAGACAUUUGUAGAUAGAUAAAAGUUCUUACUGCCAGCAGAAUUUCAUAAUUGUUUGUUGAGUAGUUUGAGAGAUAUUGAAUUUUGAAGUUAACUAUGUUGUUGUCUGAAACAGAUUCAGACAGUUAUCUUAUCAGAUGUUUUAGAACUUAUAGAUGGCAGAACUUAAUUAUCCAUUGAAUACCGAAGUUGUAGAGUAUUUUGUGUAGAUACUCCUACAAUAUUUGUUUGAUAUCACCACUGUUAUAAUUUUAAAGAUACAAAAUUAACAAACAGCGCUCCUGCUGUUUGGCAUGUGGUUCAGGGUGGGAGUCUUUCCAACGGGUCUUGGUUUCAAGUGUAGGAGCGAUUUGUUGAUUGUUGGCAAAUGUUUGUGAAAUAUUUGUACUAAGUUUUAUGCCCUCUAGCAGGUGGCUACACUCCGGAUCAUGCCUAGUACAUUUUUCUUCUUCGAUGAAGGCAAGUGAAUGUAGCGGUGGUUGCUACCGUUUUGACUUGUUGGUUUUUUUCGCCUACACUCUAAUAUUCAGAAUUAUGGAAUUCUUUCAUAAUUGAACUCUAUGGUGAUGCUUUACUUGCUUGUAUUAUACUGAUGUUCAAUCAUAUAUUGAUGAUGAUUAUGGUUCAAGUAUGACCCAUGAGAUUAAUUUACACCCAUGAAGGCAGAUAAAGUAUUAUUUGAGAUUUCUAUUGUAUCUGAAGGCAGAUGAAGUAUUAUUUGAGGUUUGUUUUGUAUCCGAAGGAAGUGAAGUAUAUUGAUAAAUGCAGCAUGGCAUAUGCAUUACAUGAUUCAUUUGUGUCUAAAGUUUGGUCGUGACCUAUGGUCCGACCGUACCGGUGCAACUUAGCAUCGUACGUUGCCCGAGGAGGGGUACGAUGCGGCUUCAUACCCUUAGAGGUAUGAAGGCAGAGGACAUAUGCAUUGCAUUCAUAUGCAUUCAUUGAAGUGAUAUUAGCAAAUGAUGUGGUUUUAUACUCUCAGAGGUAUGAGGGCAGAGGACCUACACAUUUCAUUCCUAUGCAUACAUUGAAGUGAUAUCUGCAGGUAUUGUUGAAGCAAGGAAGGGUUAUACAACCUAUUAUGGUUGUUCGAGGAAAUGAGAUGGUAUUAGUUAUAUUGGGACUAUUGAGUUCUAUAUCUACAAGUAUUUCUGAUCUCAAUUGUGAUUCCUUUAAAAUGUUGUUUAAUUCAAUUUGUGGUUUAAAUAUCUCAUCAAAACAAUUUGCUUGCUGAGAUGUAUCAUCUCACUCUUGCAUUACUCAAUGCAGGUACUUGAUUCAUGUUGGGAAUGAGUGAAGUAGCAGCACGUCCACCUUCACAAUUAUAAUAACACUGCCUAGUUGCAGCCAUGAUUUAAUUAGAAACUUGAUGUCAAAUGAUGUUUGUUUUUUUCUAGUCGUGUGCACUGGUUAAUUC
This 2109-nucleotide long non-coding RNA is filed under the name Zea mays. RNAcentral's name for it is "long non-coding RNA (ZMAY_LNC002306)". Lineage: Eukaryota; Viridiplantae; Streptophyta; Magnoliopsida; Poales; Poaceae. The record is from RNAcentral.